Molecule: ribosomal RNA, 253 nt
Filed under: uncultured bacterium
Lineage: Bacteria
Description: partial 16S ribosomal RNA
Rfam family: Bacterial small subunit ribosomal RNA
Source: RNAcentral
GACAGAGGGUGCAAACGUUGUUCGGAAUUACUGGGCGUAAAGCACAUGUAGGCGGCCUAGCAGGUCGGAUGUGAAAUCCCUCGGCUCAACCAAGGAAGUGCAUUCGAAACCGCAAGGCUGGAGUCCCGGAGAGGAUGGUGGAAUUCUCGGUGUAGAGGUGAAAUUCGUAGAUAUCGGGAGGAAUACCAGUGGCGAAGGCGGCUUCCUGGCCUGUUCUUGACGCUGAGGCGCGAAAGCUAGGGUAGCAAACGGG